Molecule: ribosomal RNA, 117 nt
Filed under: Danio rerio (zebrafish)
Lineage: Eukaryota; Metazoa; Chordata; Actinopteri; Cypriniformes; Danionidae
Source: RNAcentral
UUGACCGGCAGCUAGCUCUAUGCAACUCUCACAUGGUCACCCACUGAAGCUAAGUAGGAUUGCGCUAGGUCAGUACCUGGAUGGCAGACCACAUAGAAAAGCUAGGUGUUGGAAAAU